CGGUAUUUUGACCGUGCUAAGGUAGCAUAAUCAAUUGUUUUUUAAUUGAAAACUAGUAUGAACGGUUUAAUUUACUUAAUUAGUUUGUAAUUUUUAAUAGUAAGUUAAAUAUAAAGUAAGAAUUCUUUAAUAAAUUAGGGGACGAUAAGACCCUAAAAGCUUUAUGAUUGGCAUUUAAUUAGUGAUAGCGGUGUUAUUAAUUCACUGGGGCAGUGAGUUUAGGUAUAUUUAAGUAUAAUUAAAAGCUCCUUUAAAUAAAGAUUUCAUGUAUAAGUUACUUUAGGGAUAACAGUGCAAUAUAUU
Molecule: ribosomal RNA, 303 nt
Filed under: Dikerogammarus haemobaphes
Lineage: Eukaryota; Metazoa; Arthropoda; Malacostraca; Amphipoda; Gammaridae
Description: partial 16S ribosomal RNA
Source: RNAcentral